GUCUCUUCGGGGAUGAUUAAACCGGCGCACGGGUGAUUAACACGUGAGUGACCUGCCUUUUAGACUGGAACAACUUACCGAAAGGUGAGCUAAUGCCGGAUGAGUUAUAUAAGUGCAUGUUUAUAUAGGAAAAGUUGGGGAGACCUGACGCUGAAAGAUGGACUCGCGUCCCAUUAGCUAGUUGGUAGGGUAAUGGCCUACCAAGGCGACGAUGGGUAGCCGGCCUGAGAGGGUGGCCGGCCACACUGGGACUGAGACACGGCCCAGACUCCUACGGGAGGCAGCAGUGGGGAAUUUUGCGCAAUGCUCGUAAGAGUGACGCAGCGACGCCGCGUGAAUGACGAAGGCCUUCGGGUCGUAAAGUUCUUUCGACAGGGAAGAAAAUGCCUAUAAGUAACUGUGUAUGUAUUGACGGUACCUGUAUAAGCAGCCCCGACUAACUCCGUGCCAGCAGCCGCGGUAAUACGGAGGGGGCGAGCGUUGUUCGGAGUGACUGGGCGUAAAGAGCACGUAGGCGGUGUUGUAAGUCAUUAGUCAAAGACUAGAGCUCAACUUUAGUAAGGCUAGUGAUACUAUAAUACUAGAGUAUCAGAGAGGAUCGCAGAAUUCCUGGUGUAGCGGUGAAAUGCGUAGAUAUCAGGAGGAAUACCGUUAGCGAAGGCGGCAAUCUGGCUGGAAACUGACGCUGAGGUGCGAAAGCGUGGGUAGCAAACAGGAUUAGAUACCCUGGUAGUCCACGCUGUAAACGAUGGAUGCUAGGUGUUGGGCUUUUAAGUUCAGUGCCGCAGCAAACGCGAUAAGCAUCCCGCCUGGGGAGUACGUUUGCAAG
This 829-nucleotide ribosomal RNA is filed under the name uncultured bacterium. RNAcentral's name for it is "bacterial SSU rRNA". It matches the Rfam family "Bacterial small subunit ribosomal RNA", at positions 74 to 892 of the family's 1533-position model. The record is from RNAcentral.